GUGGUAUCCUGUCUGAAUAUGGGGGGACCAUCCUCCAAGGCUAAAUACUCCUGACUGACCGAUAGUGAACCAGUACCGUGAGGGAAAGGCGAAAAGAACCCCGGCGAGGGGAGUGAAAAAGAACCUGAAACCGUGUACGUACAAGCAGUGGGAGCACGCUUAGGCGUGUGACUGCGUACCUUUUGUAUAAUGGGUCAGCGACUUAUAUUCUGUAGCAAGGUUAACCGAAUAGGGGAGCCGAAGGGAAACCGAGUCUUAACUGGGCGUUAAGUUGCAGGGUAUAGACCCGAAACCCGGUGAUCUAGCCAUGGGCAGGUUGAAGGUUGGGUAACACUAACUGGAGGACCGAACCGACUAAUGUUGAAAAAUUAGCGGAUGACUUGUGGCUGGGGGUGAAAGGCCAAUCAAACCGGGAGAUAGCUGGUUCUCCCCGAAAGCUAUUUAGGUAGCGCCUCGUGAAUUCAUCUCCGGGGGUAGAGCACUGUUUCGGCAAGGGGGUCAUCCCGACUUACCAACCCGAUGCAAACUGCGAAUACCGGAGAAUGUUAUCACGGGAGACACACGGCGGGUGCUAACGUCCGUCGUGAAGAGGGAAACAACCCAGACCGCCAGCUAAGGUCCCAAAGUCAUGGUUAAGUGGGAAACGAUGUGGGAAGGCCCAGACAGCCAGGAUGUUGGCUUAGAAGCAGCCAUCAUUUAAAGAAAGCGUAAUAGCUCACUGGUCGAGUCGGCCUGCGCGGAAGAUGUAACGGGGCUAAACCAUG
Molecule: ribosomal RNA, 764 nt
Filed under: Escherichia coli
Lineage: Bacteria; Pseudomonadati; Pseudomonadota; Gammaproteobacteria; Enterobacterales; Enterobacteriaceae
Description: partial 23S ribosomal RNA
Rfam family: Bacterial large subunit ribosomal RNA
Source: RNAcentral